UACGAGAGGCCCAAACGUUAUUCGGAAUCACUGGGCUUAAAGAGUUCGUAGGCGGCGCGGAAAGUGGGGUGUGAAAGCCCUCGGCUUAACCGAGGAAUUGCGCUCCAAACUACCGCGCUCGAGGGAGAUAGAGGUGAGCAGAACUGAUGGUGGAGCGGUGAAAUGCGUUGAUAUCAUCAGGAAUACCGGAGGCGAAGGCGGCUCACUGGGUC
Molecule: ribosomal RNA, 212 nt
Filed under: uncultured prokaryote
Description: partial 16S ribosomal RNA
Rfam family: Bacterial small subunit ribosomal RNA
Source: RNAcentral